GAUGAACGCUGGCGGCGUGCCUAAUACAUGCAAGUCGAGCGAACAGAUACGGAGCUUGCUCCUUUGACGUUAGCGGCGGACGGGUGAGUAACACGUGGGUAACCUACCUAUAAGACUGGAAUAACUCCGGGAAACCGGGGCUAAUGCCGGAUAACAUUUAGAACCGCAUGGUUCUAAUGUGAAAGAUGGCUUUGCUAUCACUUAUAGAUGGACCCGCGCCGUAUUAGCUAGUUGGUAAGGUAACGGCUUACCACGGCAACGAUACGUAGCCGACCUGAGAGGGGGAUCGGCCACACUGGAACUGAAACACGGUCCAGACGCCUACGGGAGGAAGCAGUAGGGAAUCGUCCGCAAUGGGCGAAAGCCUGACGGAGCAACGCCGAGUGAGUGAUGAAGGUCUUCGGAGCGGAAAACUCUGUUAUUAGGGAAGAACAAAUGUGUAAGUAACUGUGCACGUCUUGACGGUACCUAAUCAGAAAGCCACGGCUAACUACGUG
RNAcentral lists this ribosomal RNA (497 nucleotides) under uncultured bacterium. RNAcentral's name for it is "partial 16S ribosomal RNA". It matches the Rfam family "Bacterial small subunit ribosomal RNA", at positions 28 to 507 of the family's 1533-position model. The record is from RNAcentral.